RNAcentral lists this long non-coding RNA (215 nucleotides) under Dromaius novaehollandiae (emu). RNAcentral's name for it is "lncRNA (ENSDNVG00000006831.1)". Lineage: Eukaryota; Metazoa; Chordata; Aves; Casuariiformes; Dromaiidae. The record is from RNAcentral.
CGCAUCGCGGAUCUACCCGGGCGCCGCGCUCCGCGCCAGCCCCAGGGCUGAGCGAGCCCAGGAGCCCGACAGCCUUGCCGACUCCCAGAGGGACAGCGGGAAGGGACAAGGCACCUGCACCCGGGCUGGGACCCUCCAGUGACACCGUGGAUGGGCGACAGAGGAAAAGGAACAAGGGGAAAUGGAGCUGCAGGCUGRCACCGCCUUUCCCUGCC